UCUUUUCAAUCGCUGCUUCUACUUCUAGAUAACCUGCGAUGUAAUUUGAAUGAUUUUGUUUUUGCAGUGAAAAUUCUAUGGCCGAAGUUGAUCAGAACGCAGGUGAAUUUGAGGCACCUGAAAUAGUUGAGACUGAACAAAAUGAAACGGUGGUUGAUGUGUCGAUUGUUGAGCCUGAGAAGAAAUGGCCAGGGUGGCCAGGUGAGAGUGUGUUCAGAUUAAUUAAUAUAAUCGAUUAUUAUGCUACCUAACAACUAAUUAGUUAAUUACCACUCCAAAUAAAUAUAUAAAAUAUAGUAAUAAUAAUAUAAUAAUUAAAUACUAAAAUUGGGUUGUUACAAUGUGAUGCUCUAAAAUCAAGAAUCUAUAUGGAAGGAGAUAUGCAUGAUAUACUAGAAGAAUUUUACCCUUUAAUAGAGGACGCACACAUGACACAUAGCUGAGUGACAAGAAUCUUUUGAAUCUGCUCUGCAAUAUCAAAUAUUUGAGAAGUGAGCUUAGAUGAACAUACAUAAUCAUAAUCAUAACCAAAACCAAGGGAGUAGGAGCAGUAUUAGAAACAUUGGAUUAUAGACUUUUGAAAUUCUUCUUAUUUUAUCUCAAUAAUUCAGAACAUUGAGAUUUCCAAUGACCUUUCUUCUUACAAAAAGCACAUUCAUCAAUACCAAGUCAAAUUCUACCUUGAUAUUUUCUUUGUGAAUAAGAGGAGCAAAAACAAAUGGAGGAGUGUAGAGAAUUCAUUUAUUUGGAAUCAUAUUAGAGUGAGUCUUAAGUCUAAUUCCUUCUGCCAAUGACUCAUUAACAACUGGAUUAACAUUGAGAAAAGGAAUAUGAUAUAUAAUGCUUCCACGAAGACUCUCAAAGUCAUCUUGAAGGGUUAUUCGAAGUUGAAUGAGACACUGCUUUUCUCUUUGCUCGAUGUAUGCUUUUGACAAUUUUUAAUUUCAUUGAUUGCUUAAUAGCCAAUUGAUCCCAUAAAUCAGUCAUGGCCAAAUAAAAAUAUUGAAUGUUCAUACUGUUUUCCUUAAGAGCCUUAGGGUCUAUUUGAUUGAUGGAAAGGCAUGAAAUGGAAUGGAAUAUUGUCAUGUUCCACUGUUUGGUUUUAUAAAAAAUGAAUGGAAUGUGAUGGAACUCACCCCGUCUAAUACCACUUUUUUACCUCAUUUUUUAUUCCACUUAGGGUGUAUCUAAUGAAAAAGAAUAAAUUAGUAACAUAAUUAUAAAUUUGUCGUCCAAAAUUUAUCUUUCAUUAACCAUAUUAAUAAUUUAAAAGUAAAGAGUAAAAAUGGAAUAAAAAAUUAUAAUUCUUUAUGCUCCAUCCAAUUUUCAAACAAUAAAAUGAGAUAUUAGUCAUGUUCCGUCUAAAAUAACCAAACCGUGGAAUAAAGUUUAUGUUGUGUUCUGUUUCAUUCCGCUCUAUUCUAUCAUGUUUCGUUCCAGUUAGCUCUAUUAGCUUUGAAUUAUCCUUUAAAUUAUCCAAAUAGACCCUUAAUGUUACUCUCCAACUAGUAUCAUUUUAUAAAAUUAGACUGAUUAAACAAACAUUUCAAAUGAUUUCAAACCUCCUUAGCAAUAUCAUAUUUUGCUAGUUGCAUAUCUAUUUACUAACAAACAAGAUUAUUAAUCCAAGUGAGGAUCUUCGAAUUAUAAACAUCCCGUGUUUUCAACUUUUUUUUUCCAUAUGUUGCUUCAUAUUUUUUACCCGUGGGCUCAUCAGAAGUUUCAUCAACAUAACUUCAUAUCCUUUUUUCUUUCAAAAAAAAUUCAUUACAUAAUUCUAAUAAUAAAUACUUCAACCUUAGGGUUGGGAGAAAGAGAAAUCGUAAUACACACAACAUACCCCUAAAGCUAUAUAACUUUUCAACUCACAUGAACUUGCUCUCUCAUCAUCAUAAACAUCACCAAACAUGGUUUGUCACCAUCCUGAGCAAGACCUAACCCAUAAAAAAUUACUAAGGCCUUUGGCCACCCUACCAGCAUAGGGUGCCAUACAUUCUAUACUUUUUGACAAGUACAAUUAAGAAAACUUUUCACGUAUGAUGCUUUUUACAAAUUCACUAGUAAAAUGAACCCUGUAGACCUCCCCCUCUUAAGUCGUAAGUUCACUUGAUUUCAAUCAAAUAAGAGGGUGGUUAGUCGUCUUGACAAGAUUUUCAUUUAUGAAGGCUGAUGGAACUUGUGAGAGAUGGUUUUACCUAAAGACAUCCCUUAUCCUUGUCCUACCUAAAUACUAUCCAAUGUUAUUAUUUAUCAUCUUUCAUUUCAUUUUCAUUACUCCCAAUCGAGUCUCACUUUGCCUUUAUAUAUUUCUUUUCUAUUUCAAGUUAAAUUAAAGAUUUUUACAAAAUUGAACACACCAAACUAUAAAAUUUAAAAAUUAUAGAAAUCAAUUUUUAAAUUAAACUCUUUUUAACAAAAACAUUUAAUUAAUGUUUAAAAUUUUAAAAUCUAUUUUUGACAAAACAUGUCUUAAAAAUUUCAACGUCCUUAUUUUUUUCUCGUACGUUUUCGAUUAGGGUUGUUAAAAAAACAUGAACCAAACUGAACCACCUGAACCGAACCGAACUAAGGUCAAAAUAAUCAAACUAUUAUGUUUGAUCAGUGAAUCGAACCACAUUGCAUAAACAUUUAUAAAACCGAACCAUAUGUUAAGUAAAUCAAACUGAAAUCAAAACCGAACCGAACCGAAAUUGAAAAUAAAAAAUAAUAAAAACAAGUUUUAAUUUUAAAAAGAAAAAUUCAAAAAAUAGUUUAACGGUUUGGUUCUUUAGCAAAUGGUUCAAUUUGAGAAAAAAAAUGUCUUCUAACAACUUAGUACGGUUCAACAUUUUGAAAUAGUAUACCAAACCAAUAAUUUUGGAUCGAUUCGGUUCAAUUUCAUGACUUCUCUGAGAACUUAUAAGUUCCUCCGGAGUAGUCUUAUUCAAAUCUUUUGACACUUUUAGUGCAAUCACCAUUGAUCUCCACUUCUUAGGUAGACUUCUGAUGAUUUUAUUUACAUGAUAUGUAGUGGUAUAUCAUUUGUUUAAGGCUUUCAAUCCAGCCACAAGAGUUUAAAAUCUUGAGAAUAUUUUCUCAACCAUUUCAUCCUCUUCCAUUUUGAAGGAUUCAUAUUUCUGGAUUAAGGCCAAGAAUUUUGUCUCUUUAACUUGCAUAUUUCCUUCAUGAGUCAUUUUUAAAGAAUCAAAUACAGACUUAGCCGAGUCUCUAUUUGUUAUCUUUUCAUACUCAGAGUAGGAAAUCACAUUCAACAAUAUAGUUCUGGAUCUAUGAUGAUUCUUGUGAUCCUUCUUUUGUUGAUCGCUCAUUUUGUUUCUUUCAAUCCGAGUAGUAUCACUAUCAUCUAUAGGAAGUGUGUAACCAUAUAACACCAUAUCCCAUAAAUCUGCAUCAUAUCCAAGGAAGUAACUUUCAAUUCUAUCAUUCCAGUAAUCAAUAUUUUCUCCAUCAAAGAUCGGAGAUUUAGCAGAGUAAUAAUCAUUAUUGUUCGUAUAUGACUUCCAAUGCUAUUACUUAUCAUCUUUCAUUUUAUUUCCAUUACUUCCAAUCGAGUCUCACCCGCCUUUAUAUUUUUCUUUUCCAUUUCAACUCAAAUUAAAGAUUUUUAAAAAAUUUAUGCACCAAACUACAAAAUUUAAAAAUUAUAGAAAUCAAAUUUUAAAUUAAACUCUUUUUUAACAAAAACAUUCCAGUAAUGUUUAAAAUUUUAAAAUUUGUUUUCGACAAAAUAUCUCUUAAAAUUUCCACCAUCCUUAUUUUUUCUCCUACAGUUUCGAUUAGGACUGUUCAAAACAAUCAUAAACCGAACUGAACCAUUCGAACAAAACUGAAUCAAACUGAGGUUAAAAUAGCUGAACCGUUAUGUUUGGUUAGUGAAAUGAACCACGUUGCACAAACAAUUUAAAAACCGUAUUAAAUACUAAGUAAAUCAAACCAAAACUGAAAAUAAAAAAUAAUAAAAACAGGUUUUAAAAAAAAUCAAAAAAUAGUUUAACAAAUAAUUUGAUUUGGAAAAAAUUAUCUUCUAACAAUUCCAUACUGUUCAAUAUUUUGAAACAAUAUACCAAAUUAAUAAUUUUGAUUCCGUUCAAUUUUUAGUAAAUUAAACCGAUUUAUUUUUUUCCGAAUAUUUAACAUGGUUUAGUUCUAUGUUCAAUUUUCUCAUUAGAUUUUUAGAUUAUAUUAUCUAAUGCAAUCUUAGAAAUAAAAAAUAAAUAGAUAUAACUUCCCAUACACAAUCUUCUAUGUUCAAUUUUCUCAUUAGAUUUUUAGAUUAUAUUAUCUAAUGCAAUCUUAGAAAUAAAAAAUAAAUAGAUAUAACUUCCCAUACACAAUCAUCUAUUAUCCUUAGCUUAGUUCUCAUUACUCCCACUCCACUCCCUUGCCUUUUUCUUUCUCUUUCCCGUUUCCCCAACCCAAAACCCUAGAUUCCAUCAUUUUAACUCGUGAUUCGCAGCUCUAUCUACAAUCAAGGUAACUUUCACCACCAACACUCACCGUGUUCGUUUCAUCCAUCUAUCUACAUGCAUGUAUUUAUUCUACUGUAAAGUUACUGAUUCAGUAGUUCUCGUUGUUCAGUGGCUUUUCCUCGAUGAAUCCCAUGUAGAUCUAGUAUAAUAUAUCUUUUCUUUUCAAUCGCUGCUUCUACUUCUAGAUAACCUGCGAUGUAAUUUGAAUGAUUUUGUUUUUGCAGUGAAAAUUCUAUGGCCGAAGUUGAUCAGAACGCAGGUGAAUUUGAGGCACCUGAAAUAGUUGAGACUGAACAAAAUGAAACGGUGGUUGAUGUGCCGAUUGUUGAGCCUGAGAAGAAAUGGCCAGGGUGGCCAGGUGAGAGUGUGUUC
This 4841-nucleotide long non-coding RNA is filed under the name Lathyrus oleraceus (garden pea). Its description in RNAcentral is "Pisum sativum (pea) long non-coding RNA (PSAT_LNC012553)". The record is from RNAcentral. Lineage: Eukaryota; Viridiplantae; Streptophyta; Magnoliopsida; Fabales; Fabaceae.